This 76-nucleotide transfer RNA is filed under the name Desulfovibrio sp. RNAcentral's name for it is "tRNA-Phe". It matches the Rfam family "tRNA". From Rfam's summary of the family: Transfer RNA (tRNA) molecules are approximately 80 nucleotides in length. Their secondary structure includes four short double-helical elements and three loops (D, anti-codon, and T loops). RNAcentral also lists the same sequence under 33 other names. Lineage: Bacteria; Pseudomonadati; Thermodesulfobacteriota; Desulfovibrionia; Desulfovibrionales; Desulfovibrionaceae. The record is from RNAcentral.
GCCGAGGUAGCUCAGUCGGUAGAGCAGGGGACUGAAAAUCCCCGUGUCGGCAGUUCAAUUCUGUCCCUCGGCACCA